RNAcentral lists this ribosomal RNA (305 nucleotides) under uncultured bacterium. RNAcentral's name for it is "bacterial SSU rRNA". It matches the Rfam family "Bacterial small subunit ribosomal RNA", at positions 333 to 656 of the family's 1533-position model. The record is from RNAcentral.
UUAUGCCUACGGGGCGCAGCAGUGAGGGAUAUUGGUCAAUGGGGGAAACCCUGAACCAGCAACGCCGCGUGAGGGAAGACGGUUUUCGGAUUGUAAACCUCUGUCCUCUGUGAAGAUAAUGACGGUAGCAGAGGAGGAAGCUCCGGCUAACUACGUGCCAGCAGCCGCGGUAAUACGUAGGUGGCAAGCGUUAUCCGGAAUGAUUGGGCGUAAAGGGUGCGCAGGCGGAUGUAUAAGUCUGAAGUAAAAGCCAUCGGCUCAACCGAUGUAAGCUUUGGAAACUGUAGAUCUAGAGUGCAGGAGAG